Rhipicephalus sanguineus (brown dog tick) is the source of this 424-nucleotide long non-coding RNA. RefSeq lists it as uncharacterized. The transcript is spliced from 2 exons. NCBI's taxonomy places the organism in Eukaryota, Metazoa, Arthropoda, Arachnida, Ixodida, Ixodidae. The record is from RefSeq and is a predicted model, not a curated record.
GACAAGGCUUUUUCAAAUGCGAGCAAUUUAAAAAGGCACAUAAAAAAUGUCCAUGGAGAAGAGGCCUUGGCAACAGCAAAAACAAAGGAGUGCGGUGAAGGAAGGACUAUCGCGUGCGACUUGUGUCCAAAGUACUUUUUGAAGCUUCUAGAUCUUCGUCAGCACCAUGUUCGCGAACAUGGAUUUAAAGAAGAAGUACAGAACUUCACGUUUGACUCGUAUAAAGGUCUGCAGUCAUGGAGACUGGUGGACUGCUGCAAUCAACGACACCAGCUAUUACAACUAGAUCCUGACUGUUGUGAAGGUCCGUGACAUGGCAGAGAGGCUCGGCAUUCCCGUUCUGACAUGGAAUCAGCCGGAUUUUAGAUGUAUAAACGCCUCGUACUGUUCGCUCUGGACCAAAUAAAUGUCUUUUCUCUCUCAA